AGCCGUCAAAAUUUAGAAGAUUGUGUUAGUGGAUAACUGCAGAACCGAGAAACUCGUGGAAACACGCAUUUCCUGAGACUUCCAGCUUUCUAGUAUGGAAUCUGUACAGGAAAGAACCUGAACAGAUGCUGGAUUUAUAUUGUGGAUUUAGAAUCUGUUUUCAGCACCUCACUGACUGUCACUGAAAACUUUUACACUUGAUCUUAGCCAAAAGGCUGAGAAGCCAUCCAUUGAAAAUUAAAAAUAAAAUCAUAGCACUGCUUUCAAUUCCAAAACAAGACUGUUUCUACUCACCUCUCAGAACCAUCAUUUAUUAUAAACCCAACUUGAGAAAUGGAGGCUUCAUUGAUCUGCUAAGUUUAAAAUCAUGCCACAGGUGAUUCUUCCUCCGAGCAACUGAGUCACUCAAGACCAAACAAUUAAAAUGAAAUCUGAC
Molecule: long non-coding RNA, 436 nt
Organism: Nycticebus coucang (slow loris)
Lineage: Eukaryota; Metazoa; Chordata; Mammalia; Primates; Lorisidae
Exons: 3
Source: RefSeq, a predicted model, not a curated record